This 433-nucleotide ribosomal RNA is filed under the name uncultured bacterium. RNAcentral's name for it is "partial 16S ribosomal RNA". It matches the Rfam family "Bacterial small subunit ribosomal RNA", at positions 29 to 507 of the family's 1533-position model. The record is from RNAcentral.
AACGAACGCUGGCGGCAUGCCUAACACAUGCAAGUCGAACGAGACCUUCGGGUCUAGUGGCGCACGGGUGCGUAACGCGUGGGAACCUGCCCUUAGGUUCGGAAUAACUCCCCGAAAGGGGUGCUAAUACCUGAUAAUGUCUUCGGACCAAAGAUUUAUCGCCUUUGGAUGGGCCCGCGUUGGAUUAGCUAGUUGGUAGGGUAAAAGCCUACCAAGGCGACGAUCCAUAGCUGGUCUGAGAGGAUGAUCAGCCACACUGGGACUGAGACACGGCCCAGACUCCUACGGGAGGCAGCAGUGGGGAAUAUUGGACAAUGGGCGAAAGCCUGAUCCAGCAAUGCCGCGUGAGUGAUGAGGGCCUUAGGGUUGUAAAGCUCUUUUACCCGGGAUGAUAAUGACAGUACCGGGAGAAUAAGCUCCGGCUAACUCCGUG